This 359-nucleotide ribosomal RNA is filed under the name uncultured bacterium. Its description in RNAcentral is "bacterial SSU rRNA". It matches the Rfam family "Bacterial small subunit ribosomal RNA", at positions 8 to 353 of the family's 1533-position model. The record is from RNAcentral.
AGAGUUUGAUCAUGGCUCAGGAUGAACGCUAGCUACAGGCUUAACACAUGCAAGUCGAGGGGAAACGACAUCGAAAGCUUGCUUUUGAUGGGCGUCGACCGGCGCACGGGUGAGUAACGCGUAUCCAACCUGCCCACCACGUUGGGGAUAACCUUGACGAAAGUAAGACUAACUACCCAAUGAUAUCUCUAGAAGACAUCUGAAAGAGAUUAAAGAUUCANCGGUGAUGGAUGGGGAUGCGUCUGAUUAGCUUGUUGGCGGGGUAACGGCCCACCAAGGCAACGAUCAGUAGGGGUUCUGAGAGGAAGGUCCCCCACAUUGGAACUGAGACACGGUCCAAACUCCUACGGGAGGCAGCA